RNAcentral lists this ribosomal RNA (497 nucleotides) under uncultured bacterium. RNAcentral describes it as "partial 16S ribosomal RNA". It matches the Rfam family "Bacterial small subunit ribosomal RNA", at positions 28 to 507 of the family's 1533-position model. The record is from RNAcentral.
GACGAACGCUGGCGGCGUGCCUAAUACAUGCAAGUUGAGCGAUGAAGCUUGGUGCUUGCACCCAUUUGAAGAGCAGCGAACGGGUGAGUAACGCGUGGGGAAUCUGCCUUUGAGCGGGGGACAACAUUUGGAAACGAAUGCUAAUACCGCAUAACAACUUUAAACAUAAGUUUUAAGUUUGAAAGAUGCAAUUGCAUCACUCAAAGAUGAUCCCGCGUUGUAUUAGCUAGUUGGUGAGGUAAAGGCUCACCAAGGCGAUGAUACAUAGCCGACCUGAGAGGGUGAACGGCCACAUUGGGACGGGGAAACGGCCCAAACUCCUAAGGGAGGGAGCAGUAGGGAAUCUUCGGAAAUGGACGAAAGUCUGAACGAGCAACGCCGCGGGAGUGAAGAAGGGUGUCGGAUCGGAAAACUCUGUUGGUAGAGAAGAACGUUGGUGAGAGUGGAAAGCUCAUGAAGUGACGGUAACUACCCAGAAAGGGACGGCUAACUACGUG